CCCCACCCCAAGCCCCAACCCUCAAAAAACACCUGUUAGCCUCCCAGAUACCUUUGACCACAGACAAGCCGCAAAACACUGCUCUAUACUAUAGAAUGCCUUCAAGUGAUCCACAGCAAAGCUAAGCCGUCCAGGAACCAUCUACCCAUUCUUCCCAGGGUGGGGAUUGAGGAGCUCUCCAUCCAGGCAGUGGGGUCCUAUCUGCUGCUCUCCACCUCUCGGAAGCUCGAGAGGAAAUGGGGCUUCCCUUCGACUUCUGAGCUCAGCUGGACCCCAUCCGGGGCCCCAGGGGAUGCCUGCUCAGAGAUGGAGUGAAGAGGAAGCCGGGGGCGCAGUCACCCCAAGGAGCUGCUGCAGAGAACACCAGCUGAAAGUAAAUGUCCUUGAGGUCCCCAGCAUUCUCCUCAUCAUUAAUGCAUUCAUAGGCAUGGCCAUCCAGGCUUCAGAACCUGUGUGAAAGAGAUGCCGGAACAUUCAGCAAACACCAGGGAAGCAGAGGACACAAGCUUGGAUGUGAAAUAGCAACACCUUCUGCACUGAAGAAUAAUAAAACAAUGUUUUUAAUUACAAAAGAAAAUGUGUAAGAAAAGUGUAAAAAUACGUGGGGCAAGUUUUGGGGGCCCUUUCUAAGCUAGAACACUUUAUACUGGUCUGUACAUGUGGAACUGAACAGAGAUUGUUCACUUCUAAAAUAUUCUAAGAAAUAAUCUCAAUUGUCAGUUUCCUCCUGCCCGAAUAAAAGCGGAGCUUUGUUACCCUCCUUUUCAGCUUGGGGAAGGAGGGAUGGGAAAAAGACAUUGCAUUGUUGAAUAGGCAGCCAUAUUUGUACUUUUUCUCCUGUGCAGAGGUAAGCGGGGUGUGCUGGGCUUUGUGGAACCUCACAAAAUGGCAGUCCCUGAACUGACUUUUCUCUAGAAACCAUUGAGACCCACACCCUCUUUUGUGUGUUCCUGGUUCUCAAAAACAGAGACCUAAUCAUUUCGAAGGCUUGGUUCUUUCAUUCAGUGUUAACAUUGGAGGGUCCUUUUCUCUGAACGGUUUACAGACCUCUCUAAGCAGACUCUAAGCAAUCCAGGGCUGAAAAGCAUCGUCUGGGUUUGCAAAGGAUUCUCUGAAGGUUUAUGCAAAUUUCUGCAGCAAAAAUGUUUGCUCGCUUUUUGCCGCACCCCUCGGAUGUUUACAGAUUUGAGCCAAUUAGAAGGGUAUCUUCUGUGCUCGGCUGCAUGAAAUACCAUGAUGGGGGGGAUUUCUAGCCACUGUAAGAAAGACAGUGGGGUGUGUGUGUGGGGGAGAGAGAGAGAGGAAGACAGAGAGAGACAGAUGUGUAAUUCCUCAAAACUCUUUAUUUGGAAGCAGAUCUAUGAUUUUCCCAGCUACAAAAAGAAACAUAUAUACCUACAUUUAUGACCAAUACUUUCUGCAAUAUGUAAUCCAUGUUUAUGUACAAAUACACCAAAUAUAUACCCCCAGAAUACCAAAUUUGUGUAUGUACAAAUACUCUCUAAUGCACCAAUUACUGCAACAGAGUUUUUUUCUGUACAAGAGCUACCAUUUUACUGUGGAUUUGGGGCCAAUGGGACAAGAAGGUACAACACUUCCAGAGCAACACAGAAUACGGAGGAAAUGAGGACAUUACUACUUCCCCUUCAUUCCUUCAUUUCCACAUCCAUUCACGUACCAGGUCUCCUACCUGAGUCUUGCCCCAAAUCAGUGACUCUAAAACUGGUAUUUGGGGAAUAUUCUUGAGCAGGAGACGGCGAAUUUUGCUAACAGAGGAAGUCCCCUAAAUGGAGGGCACCGGAGUUUAGCCAGCGAGAAGCUCUAGCCACUUGCCACCACCACGGCCGCUGCUACCACCACCCCCAC
Long non-coding RNA from Lynx canadensis (Canada lynx), 1866 nucleotides. RefSeq lists it as uncharacterized. The record is from RefSeq and is a predicted model, not a curated record. NCBI's taxonomy places the organism in Eukaryota, Metazoa, Chordata, Mammalia, Carnivora, Felidae. The transcript has 3 exons.